GCUGGGGUUGGGGCUCAGUGGUAGAGUGCUCACCUAGAAUGGGUGAGGACCUGGGUUAGAUCCUCAAUCCUCAGCA
Molecule: transfer RNA, 76 nt
Filed under: Marmota monax (woodchuck)
Lineage: Eukaryota; Metazoa; Chordata; Mammalia; Rodentia; Sciuridae
Description: tRNA.Ser
Source: RNAcentral